GGCAAGAUGGCCGAGUGGUCUAAGGCGGUAGACUCAAGUGAUCCAAGCGACAUUUGUGCUGCAAUAGCAGUAUCCAUUCUACUCUCCAACAGGGGGCGCGAGUUCGAAUCUCGCUCUUGUCA
Transfer RNA from Aspergillus wentii DTO 134E9, 122 nucleotides. It matches the Rfam family "tRNA". From Rfam's summary of the family: Transfer RNA (tRNA) molecules are approximately 80 nucleotides in length. Their secondary structure includes four short double-helical elements and three loops (D, anti-codon, and T loops). Further hydrogen bonds mediate the characteristic L-shaped molecular structure. tRNAs have two regions of fundamental functional importance: the anti-codon, which is responsible for specific mRNA codon recognition, and the 3' end, to which the tRNAs corresponding amino acid is attached (by aminoacyl-tRNA synthetases). tRNAs cope with the degeneracy of the genetic code in two manners: having more than one tRNA (with a specific anti-codon) for a particular amino acid; and 'wobble' base-pairing, i.e. permitting non-standard base-pairing at the 3rd anti-codon position. The record is from Rfam. Lineage: Eukaryota; Fungi; Ascomycota; Eurotiomycetes; Eurotiales; Aspergillaceae.